This 58-nucleotide microRNA precursor is filed under the name Homo sapiens (human). RNAcentral describes it as "Hsa-Mir-147-v2_pre stem-loop". It matches the Rfam family "mir-147 microRNA precursor family", at positions 12 to 69 of the family's 78-position model. The record is from RNAcentral. Lineage: Eukaryota; Metazoa; Chordata; Mammalia; Primates; Hominidae.
UGGAAACAUUUCUGCACAAACUAGAUUCUGGACACCAGUGUGCGGAAAUGCUUCUGCU